GGUACUGUGCCCGAAUCAGACAAAAGGCAUACUUUGAUAAAGUAUGAAUAGAGGUUUAAACCCUCUCAGCACCU
This 74-nucleotide transfer RNA is filed under the name Ptenopus garrulus (Whistling gecko). RNAcentral's name for it is "tRNA-Ile". It matches the Rfam family "tRNA". Rfam says of the family: Transfer RNA (tRNA) molecules are approximately 80 nucleotides in length. Their secondary structure includes four short double-helical elements and three loops (D, anti-codon, and T loops). The record is from RNAcentral. Lineage: Eukaryota; Metazoa; Chordata; Lepidosauria; Squamata; Gekkonidae.